Molecule: unclassified non-coding RNA, 352 nt
Filed under: soil metagenome
Description: partial contains 5.8S ribosomal RNA, internal transcribed spacer 2, and large subunit ribosomal RNA
Rfam family: 5.8S ribosomal RNA (bases 1-120)
Source: RNAcentral
GAUGAAGAACGCAGCGAAAUGCGAUAAGUAAUGUGAAUUGCAGAAUUCAGUGAAUCAUCGAAUCUUUGAACGCACAUUGCGCCCGCCAGUAUUCUGGCGGGCAUGCCUGUUCGAGUGUCAUUACAACCCUCAGGCCCCCGGGCCUGGCGUUGGGGAUCGGCGGAGCCCCCCGUGGGCACACGCCGUCCCCCAAAUGCAGUGGCGGUCCCGCCGCAGCUUCCAUCGCGUAGUAGCUAACACCUCGCGACUGGAGAGCGGCGCGGCCACGCCGUAAAACACCCAACUCUUCUGAAGUUGACCUCGAAUCAGGUAGGAAUACCCGCUGAACUUAAGCAUAUCAAUAAGCGGAGGA